AUGCCCGCUCAGCGUCGUAGAAAUUGAGGUUGUAGCGGCCGAGGCGGGGGAAGUACGGGAAGACGACACCUAACGAAGAGGGUGAUUUCUGUGAUGACCAGAGAGGCGUCCAUGGGGGAGGAACCUUGUAGGUGGACACGUCCAUGGAAACUGCCAUAACUCCUUUUGUGAUAAUCCAUGGCAACAAAAACAUCCACCUGGAGCAAGAUGAAGAGUGAGACCACAAACCGCAGACAGUUGGUGCAGGUGGUGACGGUCGUGAUGAGCUGCUGCAAACUGAGCCAGAAUCCACUGCAGAAAAUGGACCAACAACAGCCACAGAGACAGACUGAGCUGAACUGCAGUGAAUGAAAGAAGAGAGAAGGAUAUACGAUGCUUCAGGAGCUGACAGUCUCAACCCUUCACCCUCCGCUCUCCCCGGCCCAUCCUUCCCCCCCUGUGAGAAGGUCAAAGAUCAUCAUCAUCAAAACUCAACUGCACCGUGAUCAAAACAGCGAUGGUGAGACUCCUGGCUUCCUUCAUGGCGGAGGUAUACGAGGGGAGUAGACACAGACAUGAGGGGGGAAUGCCUCGAGACAUGCUGUGGAUCGUGGACUAUGCCUGGCAGUUGGGGGCUGGUCAUCGAAGCUGUUUUCCACCUCUGGCUCUGGGUGAAUAAAGGAAUAUAGUUUGAUGCUGAACUUCUUCCAGACUGAAACCAGCAGGACUGUGUUGUUUUUGGGCGUCUCAGUGAUUCAGCCAUGUUCCUCCGAUGGAUCCAUAGAUCAUCAGAGUCAGCCAAGCCCGCCGCUCUUCUUCCCUCCCUCUGCUCGGAGCUGACAGGAGUGGACAGCUGAGGGUAAUCCUCCGCCAAGCAGAUGCUCAGCGCGCUGAUAUCUAGGACAUGCUCGCAGGUUUGAUCUCUCUCUCUCUCCCUCUCUGUAAUGUGUAGAGCCGACGGUCUUUGGAGCAGUAAUCCUGGGCUCUUACACCAAGGCCCUCAGAGGCCCCGAGUGUCAGCAACACAUUUUUCUCUCCCGCACACACACACACACACACACGCUCUGAAACACACACGCAUUCAAACACACACUCACACAGGCAGCAUCACUGACACCUCAGAGCUAAAUAUACCGGGAGUGGCAACGACAGGUGAUCGGGCUCCUCCACAGACGUGCACUCGGCCGGCUCGGACACAGGAGGUCACAGGGUGUGAGUGUGUGAUUGUGAGUGGAAAAGAGAUGAGUGUGUGUGUGUGUGUGUGUGU
This is a long non-coding RNA of Lates calcarifer (barramundi perch), 1246 nucleotides long. RefSeq lists it as uncharacterized. The transcript is spliced from 9 exons. The record is from RefSeq and is a predicted model, not a curated record. Lineage: Eukaryota; Metazoa; Chordata; Actinopteri; Centropomidae.